This 6418-nucleotide long non-coding RNA is filed under the name Gallus gallus (chicken). RNAcentral describes it as "lncRNA (ENSGALG00010005834.1)". The record is from RNAcentral. Lineage: Eukaryota; Metazoa; Chordata; Aves; Galliformes; Phasianidae.
UUUUGUUUGUUUAUUGUUGUUUGCUUAGUACUGCUUAAUAAUAAUUCAAAGAAGCAGUUUUUGGAGACUGUUAAUUAAUUCUCUGAAAAUUAAGCACACAGACACUGUAACUACCUCUCUUUUCCCCAUGACAUCUAUCAUCAUUAUUAAAUGACUCUAGAAACACCACAGUCAUUGGAAAUCCUGUUGAGAUUUAACAAGUGGCCAUAUGCUACUCUCGAUUAGAGGAAGCAGAGGGGAGCAAGAUGCACCUGAAAACCUGUCAAAUGUAGGCAGAGCUGAGAGUUUACUACAUUCCCACUUGGGUAUCCCAGGACAUAUUUUUGCAAGGGGAAAGCUCAUUAGCUUCAAGAUAGCAAGUAGUACCCUGAAAACUUGGGAUACAAGGCAUGUUUUCCAUCAGGGAAGUAUAUGUUAUUGGCGCUCAGCCUCUUAAUACUUCCUACUAUUCUCCCUGAAAAUCUCCACAGGUCCAGAACAGAGCAAUUCUAUUUAUCUCAUUGUGUGUAAUUUUUUUUUGCUAGAAAAAAGAAGGUGCAGCAACACACAGUUGUUUUGGCUCCUCUAUCCCUGGUUUGCUGUCAGUGUGAUGAGAGUGCAAGAAUCCUCCUUAAAGGUUCUAAAAUGGACUCAGUAUGAUGGAUGGAAAGCACCUUCAUCUGAUGAUGCUGAAGGAGACUGUGGAUUCCAGCUGCAAGCCAAUCCUGUGGUUUGCAGUUCAGCGAGAAUUUGGUUCACAUGCCACAUUCAGCGGCCAAGAGAACUAAAACAGACAUUUUUUCCCCUGAUUCAUAACUUCUUGAUUCUCUGAGUGGAUACCAUCCCCUGUGUUAGAAGGUCUGUUUGCAUGACCUAAGAAAAAUCCAGAAAAAAAAAAAAAAAAAAAACGAAACACAAAACAACAGUGACAUCAUGAAGAGGUAUUUCAUUUUGUCAUAAAAUCCACUGAAAGCUGGGAUUUCUUUUCAAGUAUUUACAAGAGACUAUGAAUCCUUCACCUCUCUGGUGCAUAAUUUGUGUUCCAGUCUCUGAGUUCUUCUAAGUAAGAGAUACCUCUGUUCUGUACAUCCUAUAUCUGCAGUCACUUGCAGGAACUUAUUAACCAGCUAUGCAGUAGAGCUUGCAAUGUAUUUUCUUUCUGUACUGUGGAAGCCAUCAGUUUUCAAACUCCUGUAAGACCAGAAGAGCACUCACUGUGGCAGCAUAAAACACAAAGGUCUGGACUGCCUACUCUGGGAGAUCAGUGCCUUCCAUUUCUGUCAGGAUUUCUUUCCAGGGCUGAGGUGUCACCUCUGAAUUAAGUUCACAAAGGACAAACCAAUUCUGAACAUACUUCUAUAAAUCCUCGUGGGACACAGUAUGGGGGCCCUUCCAGGAUGUGACCUUUAGAUAUUGACAGAGGAGGUGUAUAUGCGUGUAUUCUCAUAUGAUGGCAGCAGAGGGGCAGACUGACGGAAUCCAUCGGAAGCAAGGGUGUGCCACUGAAUUCCUCCAUGCAAGAAAAAAUGCCACCCAUUGACACUGAUCAAUGCUUGCUGAAUGUUUCUGAAGACCAACCUGUGGGUGUGAGCACAAUGAGGUGGAUUCCACUGACCUAACCAGUGUUGUUCAGCUCCAUUAAUGCUUUUUGAUUUGGAAGCACAAAUGAUUUCAGCAUCAGCCUGUGGUGGUGGUAUGUUCAACGAGAUAAGUAUUAAACAAGGAACCACUGAAAAACAGUAAAUUUAAAACCAUCAAAAAGCUUCAAGAUUCUUCUUGGAUGAGAUCCUUGUUAUCUUGGAUGUGUAAAUCCUACUGCAACUCAGUGACAGUCAAACUUACUUGUUCGCACCUUCUUUAAAGCUAUGGAAAACUUUGCUUGCUACAGAAAUUACGAAGUUAAAUAUACCUUCAGAUUUCUGUGGAUAUAAACCAUUUCUCCCUGAAUUUUGUUGGCCAGAUUGAAUUUCUCUUUUUUUUUAGGGAAAUAUGCAUCAUUUGGUAUUAACUUAUUAGGUGGUGGUACUUGGUAAGUAAAUGUAUUUUUAAAAUUUUACAGAAUAUUUCUUUCAAAAUAGCUGUAAGAUAUUGAAAUAACUAUUUUAUAACACCUCCUAUCAUGAUUGAAUGGAACAAAAUAAUGUCUGAUAUUGUCUAUCUGAGUAACUUCAUCCUUCUUCCAAAUUUGCUGAAUGAUCAUUUACUGUUUCCCAUUUCAGAUGAUCGAACAUUUCAUUGAUGAAGCUCAUAAAAAACUUAUUCAAAACCAUACUGAAAUUCAAUGACAUAUCUGAAAAUUAAAUGUUUUUUGUGCACGGACCAACCAUAGGUUAUAUCAGCAAGAUCCUUAUGUGAUCAAUUAGUGCUCCAAAGACAAACCUCUCUCCAGGAGUAAAAUAUGAGCCCCAGUCCUGGAGGGGAUUAACCCUCAGUUCGAGAAUAGUUAUUCAUUCCUGUAAUUGAAUACAAAAGACAUAGGGAUUGAUUUUCACCUAUACCCAAAUUCAUGGCUCCUGGGAGGGUAUGAGCUGCUGACAAAUAAUUUCAGCUUCAGCCAUUGAUUAUGCUUCUAUAGUGAACAUUACAUAUACAGUAAGGUUGAUAUAAUAUAUAUUGCUGGAGUAAUAUAAUAUAAGUACUCCCCAUUUCUUAACCUAUCUUUCACUACCCUUAAGCUGUGCCGUGCACAGGAGAUGUAGAAUUCGGCUUCCUAGGAAGGAAAUGGCCAUGAAGCAGAAAAAUGAAUUCACCCUCAUUGUAUUGUAGUGAUGUGGUGAAGAUAAUCACUGCAGCUUUAUUCCAUUUAUUUUGAAAGAGAAAGCCUUUGCCUUUUCAAACUGCCUUGACCAUAUCACCACUCAUCUAUUUGCAAUGAAAAUCUGACAUCAGAGUACAGAAUUAUAGCUGGAGAAAUUGUCUUCUCAUUUCAUAUUUACCUUGUUUCCUCUCCUGAGUCACUGGAAAUGCAGCGACCUAGGUCCGUGCUUUUACACUUUUUUUUACUAUAUAUACACACGUAGAUAAAAAAAUUAGUGUGUGUGUACUGCCAAACUCUUCAGCUCACUACUCAUCUUCCCAGGUGUCUUCACACACCGUAAUUUCUGGUGUUUAAAAUUGGUAGACUGCAAAAAGUAGCACUCCUGCGUUCCCUCUCAUUCAUAUUGUGAAUAUUCAGUUCUCCAAGAAUUUUGCUGCUGGUGUCUGACCAGCCAAGCCCAUAUCAGAAUCGGCCACAGUCUAAUCAUAGUUUUUACCAAUUAAAACUUGUGUGCUAUAAUUUGUUUUUGUUUGUUUGUUUGUUUGUUUUGAUAACCUAAAGCAUAUUCUACUGUUUGCUGUUAAAAUAAAAUCCUUUCUGUUUACCUCCUCAUGGCUCACUGAAAAAAAUAUAUGCUUACAAUUGCAGCUUUCAAAAUGUUUUUUAUUUCUUCAGAUUUCUACUACAAAGCUUCAAUGUAAUCAAUAAUUCUAACUAGCUAUCUGACAGAGUACUUAACUUUAUUUUUCCUAAUAAAAACAAAUAGUUGGAGAAGAAUGUGUCCAAAGCCAUUUUUUUCCAUUCCUUUCUCAUGGCUUGCCUCUUGUCUUCUGUAUAAGGAAUUUUAGCAUUUCAAAUUUUAAGCUGAAGAUAAAUCCUUCUUUUUGAAGAAGUGUUUCUCACCAAGAGAGCCUUUUUUUUUUUUAAAGUAAGGAUAGCAAAUCCAGCCUGAUAGAACAAACACCUGAAGACAUUUUCUGUACAAUAAUAUCUCUUUAACAGAAUUAAAAUUCUAGAGAUUUAAUUCUUUGCAGACUUAACUCAACUGAAGGAAUAAGAAAUGCUGUGAUAAAACAAUAUGAUUACUUCAGUCUCCAUGUAGUAUAAAGUACGAUUCUACAGGAUUUCUUCAGUAGCCCAUGUCCAUAGUGAUCUUAAUUUUUGCUUUGUCAGAAGAGCUCUAUGAUAGGUUAAUUCUUCAGAAAUACUUAUCGUCCAUUACAUCAGAUUUCAUUUAUUUCUCCACUAUGAAAUGCAAUUUUUGGAAUUAUUAUUCUUUUUAUUAUUGUUGCUAUUACAGAACUUCCAGUGUUGGACAAAUUUACUGCUGGUACCUUCCUGUUUUCAUCCCUUUUCUUCCAAAUCCAGUGCCUAACCAAUUGAUUGUUUACUUGGAUAAACAAUUUGUUUUCCCUAAUGAAAAAAGAUAAGACUUCAUUGCCUAUUUUGUGUGGAACUGGGGCUCCUCUAGCUUCUGCAUUUUUUCCUAUUACAUCAUAAGUCCUACUUCUAGACAGAAAUAAGAAUGAGAGAUUGCAGCCUGUAGAGCUGCUACUUAUAUAGCUGCUAGAGUUACUAUCUUAGCAUGCUCAAACAUAUUCCUUAUCUGCUUCUUUUUCACUGUUCUUUUCUGAUUAAUGGUGGAUUUCCUGAUAUGUUAGGAUAUUACUGUCCUAUCUGCAGAAAUAUUGUCUCUCAUUUGGAGGAUGGUGGGAUUUUUUUCAACUUAAAUUUUUACUUUGUGCAUUGUAAUACUAAUUUCAGUUCCUAAUUUUCCAGUAAGGCAAUUAGGACACUAAAAUUUCCCAAUCACGGAAAAAGUAAUUAGUUACUAGAAGAUAAGGAUGUGCAAAUUUGAACAAAUUUGUAUGUAUUUAUGGAUAUAAGAGUUGGCUUGCAUGUGUAACUUAGAAUUUUACAUAAAUGACAUAAACUCAUUUAAAUAUAUAAAAGUAAAAAUCCAGUACUUUUUCUAUUCAUCUUCUGUGGAAUUUAAUAGCUUUUUUUAAAAGGCAUGCAUUUUCAUGAAUUGAUGUUGGUAUAUAAGCAAGAUUAUGUAUUUUCUUCAUUAACUUUUACAAAGUAGAUAUGUAGGUGGAACUAAACAUUCAAAAGCUAAGCAAAGUUUGUGUUGUUUACAUAAAAGUAUUGGUAGAUUACAUCUACCCACAAAAAAAAAAAAAAGUCAUGUAUUUUUGUUUUCAGAUAAAAAUGCACAUCUCAAAGACUUUCUUCUCUACAACUCAAACUUUCCAAAGGUUUUGAGUCAAAUUAUAUCUGAGUGUUCACUUAAAAAAAGGAAAAAACAAAACAAACAAACAAAUAAAAAAAAAUCAGAACACGGAGUUCUGUAGAAGUUAGGUAUGGUAGUUAAAAACCUUUCUGUGAAUGGCCAAAAAUACCCAAACGUUGGACUUGCUGGAACAGGAUAUGUGUUGUAAAGGAAAGCUGACAACAGAUGUUCAUAUUGUUGAAUGCUUUUGACUCAGAUCAUCAUUGGGUUUCAAGCUGUUAAUGGUGAAAGAGGUAAGAUCUCCAAGACAAGAUCUCAAAGAAAGAAGAAACUGAUCAGAGUACUUAGAUCUGAUUAUUUCAACUCACCUGACUAGCAGAGUCUUGGAGUAAAUCUGCUGAUCUGAGUGGGAUAAUCAUCUUGACAUUGGCAUUGCCUUGCCAGUGGAAGCAAAGGGUUUUCAAACCAUGGAUGAGACAAUAGAAUUCCUCUCAUCAGUAGCAUGUUGAGGUGCCAUGAUAAGACAUUGACACAGAUGGUACACAGCAAAGCAAGGUGGAAGACUUCAGGGAACCAUCCAAGUCUUAUCCAGUGAUCCUCUUAUCUUUUCAAUACUAUGGACCAAGAAGCAAUGAUGCUUUAUGUUAAAAAAAAUAAUAAUAAAACAAAAAAGAGCAAUCUCAGGACAAGAAGUUACUACAGACAUAUAACCCUCAUUUCUAAAGGCAAAUCUGCCUUGCUUUCAUUUUUCAAAAGAAAAGGGCAAGUCUGUUUACUUCAUUCUCAUCAGAAGUGCUGACCCUUGUUCUGCUAAUCAGGAUAGAGCCUGCAUUGAUUCCACCUGGAAAAUAACAUAGCUGAAAAUCAGAUGGUUUACACUCACACCAAAAUAUAUAGCAAUAAUGAAGUUGGAAGAGCAAGGCUCAGCCUCAAGCUUGAUCUGACUCAUACCAUGAAAUCAUCAGGUUUUUUAAGCUCAGGAGGGUUACAGUUCUUCAUUAUCUGAAUGGAAGACUUCACAAAAAGCCUCAGGAGCUGAAGGAGCAAUGGAGAUACUUCAGCUUGAAAUCAAUACACUGGUGUGCUGCUCAGUUCCUUGGAUCACUUUGUCACUUGGAGGUGAGUACCAGCAGGGUUUGAAUGCUUACUGCCAUUACAAAACCUGCAGCAAGAGCAUCCCUGCAUCCUGUCGGUGCUCAGCUGACCUAUUAGAGAAGAUUACUGGAACUAAAUACCUUACUGAAGAAAGUGACAAAGCUAUUGAACCUAUGUCUGCCCACCCUUGGUCACAUCAAGCUCUGCUUGCCACAGUACAAGGGGACCCCUCUGCUAGCUCAGCUGCUGGAAAGAGUGGGGUCAUGAAGGCUGCCAUGUGAUGCUUUCCUAGUAUUGUUCCAGCCUGUGAGUUGGAGGUGGACAUCCUAAGCUUAAGGCGGACUUGGAGUUGC